Molecule: ribosomal RNA, 441 nt
Filed under: Triticum aestivum (bread wheat)
Lineage: Eukaryota; Viridiplantae; Streptophyta; Magnoliopsida; Poales; Poaceae
Description: partial small subunit ribosomal RNA
Source: RNAcentral
AGGAGGAGAUGACGGCGGUGAAGGGGGUGAAGGGGGUGAAUUCGGAGGGGCCGGCCGGGCGCGGGGGCUGCUGCUUGGGGGCGGGCCUGGGGUUAGGGUUAGGGUUUGAGGGGCGGGAGGAGGAGGUGGAGGCGGAGGGGGGAGGGCCGGAGCCGAGGACGUGGGAGGGGCCCUUGAAGGACGGGGCGGAGGAGGAGGUGACCUUCUUCAUGAGAUCCUUCAUCUUGUCCUUCAUCAUGGAGGCCGGCGGCGACGAGGUGUAGGCGGCGGAGGAGGAGGAGGAAGAAGAUUGGCGUGGACGGGGAGUAGGCUUGGUGGUGGUUGUCUUGUCUCCGCGGGGUUCGUUCGAGGGGAAGAAGCAACGCGAGGGGGGCGAAUUGAUAAAGAAGGAAGAGCUACGGAAGUACGGAGGUGGAGAUCCAGCUGGGAAAUGAAGCCGGG